RNAcentral lists this ribosomal RNA (492 nucleotides) under uncultured bacterium. RNAcentral describes it as "partial 16S ribosomal RNA". It matches the Rfam family "Bacterial small subunit ribosomal RNA", at positions 29 to 507 of the family's 1533-position model. The record is from RNAcentral.
AGUGAACGCUGGCGGUAGGCCUAACACAUGCAAGUCGAACGGCAGCACAGUAAGAGCUUGCUCUUACGGGUGGCGAGUGGCGGACGGGUGAGGAAUACAUCGGAAUCUACUUUUUCGUGGGGGAUAACGUAGGGAAACUUACGCUAAUACCGCAUACGACCUACGGGUGAAAGCAGGGGAUCUUCGGACCUUGCGCGAUUGAAUGAGCCGAUGUCGGAUUAGCUAGUUGGCGGGGUAAAGGCCCACCAAGGCGACGAUCCGUAGCUGGUCUGAGAGGAUGGUCAGCCACACUGGAACGGAGACACGGUCCAGACUCCUACGGGAGGCAGCAGUGGGGAAUAUUGGACAAUGGGCGCAAGCCUGAUCCAGCCAGACCGCGUGGGUGAAGAAGGCCUUCGGGUUGUAAAGCCCUUUUGUUGGGAAAGAAAAGCAGCAGGUUAAUACCCCGCUGUUCUGACGGUACCCAAAGAAUAAGCACCGGCUAACUUCGUG